AGUGAACGCUGGCGGUAUGCCUAACACAUGCAAGUCGAACGGCAGCACAGUCAUAGCUUGCUCUUACGGUUGGCGAGGGGCGGACGGGUCAGGGAAACAUCGGCAUCUACUUUUUCGUGGGGGACAACGUAGGGAAACAUACGCUAAUACCGCAUACGACCUACGGGUGAGAGCAGAGGACCUUCGGACCUUGCGCGGGUGGAUGAGCGGAUGUCGGAUUAGCUAGUUGGCGGGGUAAAGGCCCACCAAGGCGACGAUCCGUAGCUGGUCUGAGAGGAUGACCAGCCACACUGGAACUGAGACACGGCCCAGACUCCUACGGGAGGCAGCAGUGGGGAAUUUUGGACAAUGGGCGCAAGCCUGAUCCAGCCAUACCGCGUGGGUGAAGAAGGCCUUCGGGUUGUAAACCCCUUUUGUUGGGAAAGAAAAGCAGUAGGCUAAUACCCCGCUGUGCUGACGGUACCGAAAGAAUAAGCACCGGCUAACUUCGUG
RNAcentral lists this ribosomal RNA (492 nucleotides) under uncultured bacterium. RNAcentral's name for it is "partial 16S ribosomal RNA". It matches the Rfam family "Bacterial small subunit ribosomal RNA", at positions 29 to 507 of the family's 1533-position model. The record is from RNAcentral.